This 445-nucleotide ribosomal RNA is filed under the name uncultured bacterium. Its description in RNAcentral is "bacterial SSU rRNA". It matches the Rfam family "Bacterial small subunit ribosomal RNA", at positions 354 to 796 of the family's 1533-position model. The record is from RNAcentral.
GUAGGGAAUAUUGGGCAAUGGAUGGAAGUCUGACCCAGCCAUCCCGCGUGCCGGAAGACGGCCCUCAGGGUUGUAAACGGCUUUUGACGGUGAAGAAUAGGCGGGAUGCGUCCUGUUUUGACGGUAGCCGUUGAAUAAGCACCGGCUAACUCCGUGCCAGCAGCCGCGGUAAUACGGAGGGUGCGAGCGUUGUCCGGAUUUAUUGGGUUUAAAGGGUGCGUAGGCUGGGAGGUAAGUCAGCGGUGAAAAGCACACGCUUAACGGGUGUCUUGCCGCAGAUACUACUUUUCUUGGAUGAGGAGGAGGUCACUGGAACGGAUGGUGUAGCGGUGAAAUGCAUAGAUAUCAUCCAGAACACCGAUUGCGAAGGCAGGUGACUGUACCUUAAUCGACGCUGAGGCACGAAAGCGUGGGGAGCGAACAGGAUUAGAAACCCCUGUAGUCC